Molecule: ribosomal RNA, 467 nt
Filed under: uncultured bacterium
Lineage: Bacteria
Description: partial 16S ribosomal RNA
Rfam family: Bacterial small subunit ribosomal RNA
Source: RNAcentral
ACGAACGCUGGCGGCGUGCUUCACACCUGCCAGUCGAACGGAAAGGCCCUGCUUUUGUGGGGUGCUCGAGUGGCGAACGGGUGAGUAACACGUGAGUAACCUGCCCUUGACUUUGGGAUAACUUCAGGAAACUGGGGCUAAUACCGGAUAGGAGCUCCUGCUGCAUGGUGGGGGUUGGAAAGUUUCGGCGGUUGGGGAUGGACUCGCGGCUUAUCAGCUUGUUGGUGGGGUAGUGGCUUACCAAGGCUUUGACGGGUAGCCGGCCUGAGAGGGUGACCGGCCACAUUGGGACUGAGAUACGGCCCAGACUCCUACGGGAGGCAGCAGUGGGGAAUAUUGCACAAUGGGCGGAAGCCUGAUGCAGCAACGCCGCGUGCGGGAUGACGGCCUUCGGGUUGUAAACCGCUUUCGCCUGUGACGAAGCGUGAGCGACGGUAAUGGGUAAAGAAGCACCGGCUAACUACGUG